Molecule: ribosomal RNA, 457 nt
Filed under: Escherichia coli
Lineage: Bacteria; Pseudomonadati; Pseudomonadota; Gammaproteobacteria; Enterobacterales; Enterobacteriaceae
Description: bacterial SSU rRNA
Rfam family: Bacterial small subunit ribosomal RNA
Source: RNAcentral
AGCUAAUACCGCAUAACGUCGCAAGACCAAAGAGGGGGACCUUAGGGCCUCUUGCCAUCGGAUGUGCCCAGAUGGGAUUAGCUAGUAGGUGGGGUAAAGGCUCACCUAGGCGACGAUCCCUAGCUGGUCUGAGAGGAUGACCAGCCACACUGGAACUGAGACACGGUCCAGACUCCUACGGGAGGCAGCAGUGGGGAAUAUUGCACAAUGGGCGCAAGCCUGAUGCAGCCAUGCCGCGUGUAUGAAGAAGGCCUUCGGGUUGUAAAGUACUUUCAGCGGGGAGGAAGGGAGUAAAGUUAAUACCUUUGCUCAUUGACGUUACCCGCAGAAGAAGCACCGGCUAACUCCGUGCCAGCAGCCGCGGUAAUACGGAGGGUGCAAGCGUUAAUCGGAAUUACUGGGCGUAAAGCGCACGCAGGCGGUUUGUUAAGUCAGAUGUGAAAUCCCCGGGCUCAAC